RNAcentral lists this transfer RNA (18 nucleotides) under Vibrio parahaemolyticus V-223/04. RNAcentral's name for it is "partial tRNA-OTHER". Lineage: Bacteria; Pseudomonadati; Pseudomonadota; Gammaproteobacteria; Vibrionales; Vibrionaceae. The record is from RNAcentral.
GAUUUAUCAACAAAAAGU